GAUCUUAAUCUCUUCUUUCAGAUCUUAAAGAAGCAGAUCGCUGCACGAACUUUUUCGCACAGAUCCGAUGUGAUCUAAAUCAGAUCACUAUGAAGAGAAGAAGAACCCUUCUUCUUCUCUUCUUCUCUCUUUUUUCUCUUCUUAGAUCUGAUCUCUAUCAGAUCUGGACAUGGAUAUGAAGUGGAGAAGGAAGGAAGAGGCAUUGGGGAGGAG
This 213-nucleotide long non-coding RNA is filed under the name Elaeis guineensis (African oil palm). Its description in RNAcentral is "long non-coding RNA (EGUI_LNC063257)". Lineage: Eukaryota; Viridiplantae; Streptophyta; Magnoliopsida; Arecales; Arecaceae. The record is from RNAcentral.